CCAACCAUCAAAAGGAUGCUACAAUGUUCGAAAUUCUCAACUUAAGCAUAUCAAGAUAGAGGCUUUCUCAGAAGGGUGGAAAUUCGGUCUUUGAGUUCCCAUUGCUACCUGCUUCAUUCUUUGCUUUCGGAUUACCACUGCCUUAGAGUGUGCACAGAAGAGCCAUCCAUAGUUCAGGGCUUCAGUCUAGCUAUGAUUCCCCUUGUCUGCUCGAUUAGACGAAAGCUACUGUUCUACAAUUACAGGUGAGAAAGCUAGCCUUCUUGGCGAUCCGCUAUAACUAUAACUAACAAUGGAAGACUGACCCGGCUGUUCUUAGCUCUUCACACUUGAUAAUUCAUUCCUACUUAUUAAUUAAGCUAUCACAGAUGGCAAAGGCGAUCUCUGUUAUGGAAUUUGCCUUCCAGACAAGAUCCAGAGUAGGUGUUCACAUAGGCAUAUAACU
This 445-nucleotide long non-coding RNA is filed under the name Ananas comosus (pineapple). RNAcentral's name for it is "long non-coding RNA (ACOM_LNC014911)". Lineage: Eukaryota; Viridiplantae; Streptophyta; Magnoliopsida; Poales; Bromeliaceae. The record is from RNAcentral.